Bos taurus (domestic cattle) is the source of this 1332-nucleotide long non-coding RNA. NCBI's taxonomy places the organism in Eukaryota, Metazoa, Chordata, Mammalia, Artiodactyla, Bovidae. The record is from Ensembl.
GGCUGACCGCUGACCUACGCUCCCAUGAGGGCAAGGCUGACCCCUCCGUUCCUCACCUGUCCAUGGAGAUGCUGCUCCUUGCAGGAUGCGUGAGAGGCUUGAAUUAAGCACUUCACAUGAAGUGGUGUUCCUCAGAGCAGCCGAGCAAGCUUUCCUGUCCACUGGUGAUCGUCUCCAUGUCCUGUCCAGCAACUGAGUCACACCCUGCUGCUCCAGGAGCACCAUCUCCAAGGAGUCUGAAACCAGUUUGGAUUCCCGGGGCAUUCCAGCCAGUAAAUGCUCUGAAGAUUCAUCUUUAUGGACUAGCGGCCCAGCCUUGCAGCAUCUCAGCUUCUCAAGAUGAAAAGGAAUUUUAUUUGGUGUGUUAGGCUGUGAGAGGAGCGGAUGCUGGCAGUUCACUCAGUUCUCCUAUUACCGCAUGUGCUCUUCCCCAGAGAGGAGAGACAAGGCCCCAGAGACGGCCUCAAGGCCGGGGCCCUCAGAAAAAUGAGCCUCCUCCCUUCCCUCCCGUUCCAAGGCCCGCCUAGCAGUGCUAGCCCUGGGAGGCUCCCCAAGACCGAGAGGGGUGGGGAUGGGAGUUGACCACAUCCCAGCUCAAGUGUCUCAGAUGGUCCAUGUUAAGGACCCCAACCGGGGUCAGGGAAGAGGGACCAGGGAUCCAGUAGAUUAAGACAGCUGUUGGGGGAAGGGCACGGAAAUGAAAACAGUUGCGGUUUUGUUUGCUUUAAAGCAUGGCCCUCAUAAUAAACACACACAGCGAAUGUGCUGAGCAAACACCUCGGCCGUCAUCAAUAUGCGGGGGCUGUUUAUGGCCUCAUAAACUCUGGAAGCAAGUGAUAUUGUCUUUUAAAUCAAUGGCCUCGUGGACAGCCUUGGAGCUCCAGGAGGACAGGACACCCAGGCUGCUCCAGCACCGAAAUGAACGGCUGCAGCGGUGGCUGAGUGGUGCUUGGUCACCGCCCCGGGGCGUCAGGAGCCCGUCUGGAGGACGGGGGGCAUCCCGAGCGUGUGUCUGCGGCAGGAUGCCCGGCCAGAACACCUGGGAGGCUGAGGGGUGUCCUCCCCUGGGAGCCCGGCGACCCAGGGCCGCCAGGGUGUGGAGGGAGCCAGUGGGGGUCUGUCUGUCCUUCUGCCACUACAGACUGUGGGUCCCGGAGGGUGGCCCGGGUCCCUCUGCUUUGGACCCCCAGCCCUCGUAUCAGGCCCAUUCAGGGUAUACGAGCAGGAGGCAAGGAGACCAGGCAGCCAGGUGUCAAAGGUGGUCACGCAAGUGUUUCUAGGGGUGGAUUCUGCAUGGAGGGCCCCAGGAGAUAUGCCCAUGCCCUGAUCUCC